ACAAAAAGGUAAAAUUGCACCUUUUUAUGUUGGUCUACUCUAAGUUUUUUAACUUCAUAAUUGCGAGAUAUAGACAAAUUGAAUUUUAUAUUUAAACUCGCAAAUAUAGGAAUCUGACUGGUGAAAUAUAAAUUCAGAAAUUUGAGGAAAAGGAGUCUGAAUGGUGAGAUAUAAACUCGUUAAUUUGAGGAAAAAGAGUCUGAAUGUGAGAUAUAAAUUCAAAUUUGAGGAAAAAGAGUCUGAAUGGUGAAGUAUAAACUCGCAAAUUUGAGGAAAAAGAGUGAAUGGUGAAGUAUAAACUCGCAAAUUUGAGGAAAAAGAGUCUGAAUGUGAGAUAUAAAUUCAAAUUUGUGGAAAAAGAGUUUGAAUGUGAGAUAUAAACUCGCAAAUUUGAGGAAAAAGAGUGAAUGGUGAAAUAUAAACUCGCAAAUUUGAGGAAAAAGAGUGAAUGGUGAAGUAUAAACUCGCAAAUUUGAGGAAAAAGAGUCUGAAUGUGAGAUAUAAAUUCAAAUUUGAGGAAAACGAGUCUGAAUGUGAGAUAUAAAUUCAAAUUUGAGGAAAACGAGUCUGAAUGUGAGAUAUAAAUUCAAAUUUGAGGAAAAAGAGUCUGAAUGGUGAAAUAUAAGCACAACUGUGAGAAGAAAAGUCUAAACUGUGAGAUAUCAACUUCCCUUUGGAUAUCAUGUUUUUUGUUUAGUUAUAUGCCCGACUGCCCAUGCAGGGCCUUGUACUGAACACUGGCGUUCUACAUAAUGCCAGACCUGAAGAACCUGUGAAGACUCAUUUCAUAUGCUUGUUAUGUAUUUCAUUAAGUCGAGGCUAAUGCAUGAAAUGACUACAUUUGCUUUUCCUUCAGAGGUCCAGGAAGAAACUCAUGUUUCUGGACUGGCCGGCUCGCAGCGCAGCACAUUAACUAAUCGAAUUUACACAGCUACUUGUGAUGCAAAUCUGAUGUGAUGUUACAUCUGUUGCUGAGGUGAUAGCAAAAGGGCUAAUGACACAUUUCUGUCAAUGCUUCACCCUCAACAGAGUUCUUGUUUGAAUCCAGUUCAACAUAAACCUGAUCACUGAUAUUUACUGUUUAACAGCAGGUGGCGCUCUCAGGAACGAAUGUCAAAUACUGAAGGAACUCUUUAUUCUAUGAUAAAAAAAACAAAACAAAUAUGCAUAUUCACAUGCAGACAUGUAUAUGGCUAUGUUACCACAAGGUAAAUAUUUGACUGCUAUUGUAUGUUAUUUGUGGCUCAUUGUGUGGUUGAUAUUCACGCAGACCAAUAUUUAUUCACCAUUACAAUAAGUGCUUCAUCAAAUCAGAAUCAGAAAAACACUAACAUACUACAUGUGCUUGUCAUUCAGUCAGUAUUCAUCAAUGUAAACUAAUAGAUCUUUUUCUGAUAUGUCACGAAUACAUUUUUUUUUAAUCGCAUACUGUAUACACUACCAGUCAAAAACCAUGGACACACUUAACUCUAUUUAUGUCCUGAUUUUCUAAUAGAAAUUGGUAAUUAAUAUUAAUCAGCAUGCAAAAUUACAAUAAAUUAAUAUAGAUUUAUAAUAUUAAUUCAUACAGAUAUUUCAUUGAUAUUACACACACACACACACACACACACACACACACACAGCAGAUAUAUAUAUAUAUGUUGGCUUUAUAUCAAGUAUAUUUAACUACUAUGCAUUAACAUAUAAUCUUGUGAUACAAUGCAUUUAUUUUGUACAUAAUUGUUUUUAUAUUGCACUUGCAUGUAAAAUACUUGUAUGUAAUUAUAACUGUAAUUCAUUUCUGUGAAGACACCUAUAAUUACAAUGUGUUUUGCUUAACAACAUGAACACAAUAAAUACAUUUAUACCAAAUAUAUAUUUAGUUUUCUACAUAGUAGUUAAAGACACCUAAUAUAAAGCGGGAUUUAAUAUUUAUAAAAUUUUAAUCUAAUGGCUUAUGGAUGAAUCUUAUGUAAAAUGUUAAGGACAAAAACAAGAACAAACAAAACUGUAAAAAAAAGUAACUAGGUUGCAGCCAAUAGUAAAUACAAAUUUAAAUCUAGAAAAAUAAGAUCAAAUUCAAAUUUGAUUUGCCAUGUUAUGUGGUCUCUACAUAAUUCCUACAGUUUCAGUGUUAAUUCAAAGUUAUUAUAUUCACGUUUUAAUAACAGAAGAAAAAGUGUGUCAGAUCUUUUCACUGAUAGUGUAAAUGUCCACAUACACUGAAUAAAGAUAACACUGACCGACUCUGCAUGUAUAACGUCUGUAAAUACAGUGAAGAAGAAAACGUCCUUCUUAUUUCUCACACGCCUGACCUCGUGUAUUCAGCUAGCUCAUCUGAGUCUUACUGUAUAUGAUCAUAGGACUAUGACAAGGACAUGCCAGCUUUUUUCUUUUGCGUUGUGUUCAGGUUUCUCUGGACUUUCAGCUCAGGGUUGAGUCAUAUUCAUAAAGCAGUCAGAAAUAGAAAUAGAAAUACAACAUUAAUGCUUCGUUCUGAUGCUGCUGUCAAUGUUGUGGUUCUCAUUUUAAUAAAAACAUGACAUAUGUGGAAAAUGUAGAUAAUAGGUAGUCAUGCUUUGCGCUUUAAUGUGUGCUAUCAUGACCAAUGAAAGCAGAGAAGUAGUGGUCACAUUCAGUCAUUCGCUGUAUGGCAGGCUGAUUGAAUGAAUUUGCCCAUUAACCUGAACAUCUCUUAUUGUAUAUCGUAGUGUGGCAAAAUAUAGAUGUGCAAACUCAUUUGAAUUGAUCAGAGGGUGAACAUAUUUCAUAUAGCAUUCAGAAAUGUCAUGCACUUGAAUUUGUUUAUUGUUUUUGUAGCCUUGCUAUUCUGUUGCAUGAUGGGACACCCAUGAAUUCAUUGUUUUGGUAGAACUGUGAUUUUAUUUCCCUACAAAUUAAAAUAAUUUUUCAAGAUUUGUUGACUGAAAACACGGUUUCCACGUUUUCAAAUGUUUGUUAUUAUGCAAUAGUUUGUUUCAUUGCAAAAUCUUAGCAUUUUCUAAACCAAUUUCUUCUGGUGAAUUUUUACAAAACCUGUCAAGAACGUCAUAUCAGGGUCACAAUUUACCCCAAAAUCCAAAGAAUGUUAUUAAUAUGAAUUAUUGGUAUUAAGAAAACGAUGCCUAUAUAACAUAUUGUGAAAAAGAAAAAUCAUCUCAGUGUUUCUGAUUAAAAAAAUAACAAAAACUAAAUAUUGUUUGUGGACAGCAUGAUUUUGAUUUUCUCAUUAGAGUAAUGUCAAUAUAAUGAGAAAUGAAUAGAAAACAUCUGGAUGCAUUACAAAAAUGAGGAUUUGAGAGGAAAAUGUCCUUAAUUAUCAUGAGAAUAACAUCACAAUGCAAAAAAUAUAUGUAUAUUGUACUUUCUUCUUCUUAUUAUUUUUAAUGUGUUUUCAGGAUAAAAUAUGACAUGGAAAAGUUAAAUUAAACCGUUUGGAUGACAGUAUAGAGGUCUUUUAAGUAUAUGCUGUGAUUAAAAUAAAUUGUCAAUUGAGGGAGGAAAAAAGAAAAAGAAAUAAUGCAACAUUCACCAAUUCUUGUCAUUUACUUUGAGAUCUUGAUCAGCAUUUUGUGUUAAAGAUACCCUAGAAGAGCAUCUGUAAAAUGCUUGUACAUGUUUUUUUGUUUUUCAUCUUUAGAGGUUUGAGAUCUUUUUGACUGGUGAUUUCUCAGCGGUAUGUGAAAUGUGUUUUGUUUGCAUGUUUAUCAGCUUUCUGCAAUCUGUCAUCUAAUUUCAGAAUACAGCUCUGGGAGUAUCCAAAAAAAAAAGAAAAAAAAAGAAAAACAGUUUCCAGAUUCACUGGGAAUGGCCUUAUGAAAUUUGUAAAUUGAUUUUUGAUUGUUUAUAUGUUUAAGAAAAAUAAAAUAUAUAUAUAUAUUGUUUUAUAUGUUAGUACUGCCACAAUAAAACUGGAGUGUAAACAUU
Long non-coding RNA from Carassius gibelio (silver crucian carp), 3906 nucleotides. RefSeq lists it as uncharacterized. Lineage: Eukaryota; Metazoa; Chordata; Actinopteri; Cypriniformes; Cyprinidae. The transcript has 2 exons. The record is from RefSeq and is a predicted model, not a curated record.